Molecule: unclassified non-coding RNA, 255 nt
Filed under: plant metagenome
Description: partial contains small subunit ribosomal RNA, internal transcribed spacer 1, and 5.8S ribosomal RNA
Rfam family: Eukaryotic small subunit ribosomal RNA (bases 1-54)
Source: RNAcentral
GGGAGUAAAAGUCGUAACAAGGUUUCCGUAGGUGAACCUGCGGAAGGAUCAUUAUUGGAUUUUGAAACUUCAGGCUGCUGCUGGCUCUCCUCGGAGGGGAUGUGCAGGCUUGUUGUCCAUUAUUUCUCCCACUGUGCACAAAUUGUAGACCUUUCCGUAGGCCUAUGUUGUUUUUCACAAUCUCUGAAUGUAAUAGAAUGGUUUUGAAUCUUGGGAAAUACAAUACAACUUUCAGCAACGGAUCUCUUGGCUCUU